Molecule: long non-coding RNA, 669 nt
Organism: Bos taurus (domestic cattle)
Lineage: Eukaryota; Metazoa; Chordata; Mammalia; Artiodactyla; Bovidae
Source: Ensembl
GCUUGAUAUGUGCCAUAUGGUGCUAGGACAUCUUGUAUAUAUUAUCACAUUCAAUCCUCAUGUAAUCCUACAGAAUAGGAUCUACACAUACCUAUAAAAGACAUAGAGAAUACAAAGACAAAUAAGCCUGGACCUUCUGUCAUGAAACUCACAGUCUAAAGGAAUCUAUAUUGUUUCUACUGGACCUCUUGUUCUCUGUUCAACCGAACCUGUAAUGUCCUUACUUCCCCCAAAACUCACAUCCUCAUUGCUGUUGUUUAAUUCAGCUUCGGGGACUCCUGACUCAUUAGCUGUUGCCACAUUGUCCUUUUACAGGGCCCCUGGGGCUUUCUGUCCAUUGUCAUCCCUUCCUUCUCCCACCCUGAGGAGAAUGAGCAGCCACCAUUCAGGCACCAUUUUUUGAUGGUUUGUUUCAGUCCUUCCUCAGACUGCUCAACUACAUUAACAGGAAGGGCACUGGGAGACCAUUUGCCCCCAUCUCUCACCCACCACUUGUAUAACACUACUCACUACCAGAUCCCAAACAGCGUCCUCAUAACCCCAGUCUUUGCCUAUGGGGUCCAGAUCCUUUGUCUUCCAAAGAGUCAUGUCUCUGUCAGCAUCCCAUCAUCAGAAUUCUCAAGGCUGAGAUGUGAUUUUUAUCCUGCUUACCAGCUGUGUAGGACUUCC